Molecule: ribosomal RNA, 253 nt
Filed under: uncultured bacterium
Lineage: Bacteria
Description: partial 16S ribosomal RNA
Rfam family: Bacterial small subunit ribosomal RNA
Source: RNAcentral
GCCGAACCGUGCGAACGUUGUUCGGAAUCACUGGGCUUAAAGGGUGCGUAGGCGGGUUGUCCAGUCUGGGGUGAAAUCCCACGGCUCAACCGUGGAACUGCCUCAGAUACUGACGACCUCGAGGGAGGUAGGGGCGAGCGGAACUGUGGGUGGAGCGGUGAAAUGCGUUGAUAUCCACAGGAACUCCGGUGGCGAAGGCGGCUCGCUGGACCUCUUCUGACGCUGAGGCACGAAAGCUAGGGGAGAAAACGGG